Xiphias gladius (swordfish) is the source of this 1984-nucleotide long non-coding RNA. RefSeq lists it as uncharacterized. The transcript has 3 exons. The record is from RefSeq and is a predicted model, not a curated record. NCBI's taxonomy places the organism in Eukaryota, Metazoa, Chordata, Actinopteri, Istiophoriformes, Xiphiidae.
UUCUAUUGCGUCAUCAUCGGGGGGGGGGCGUCUACAAGCAGUGUCGCCAACUUGGCACCUUUGUCGCUAGAUUUACUUACUUUUCACUCCCCUUCAGCGGCUUUUUCUUCACAGAGGCACCUAGCCACAAAAAUGUAGCUAUUUUCCGUAGAAGAGAGGAAACAAGUACUGCUCCCUCCACGCGUCCUAUUCAAUUGACCGCGGGACAGGUGACUCAGACCGUGAAUGAGCUUCCGACUUUCUCUCUUGAGUGAUUGUAUUGAUAUCAAGAUGGUGAUCUGUGACAGUGAUGCAAAAAGACCACCGGCUAAACAGUUUUUUUCAACGAAUAGACAAAAAAAAAAGAAGAGAGAAAGAAACACUGAAACCUAACUCAAUCGCUGUUUAGUUCAACAUAAGGCACGACGACUGACUGGAAAUCGCUCGACCUUUCUCAGGCCAUCUCAUAUCAACGGAAUAAGGAAAUUGCCCGCAGCUUUGUUAGGGGGUGAUGUCAUUAUUACGCACAGCAAUCCAGCACUCUUCGACGCAGGAGGAGGGGGCGAAAGCUCGUACGGCACUGGGAGUCGGGCUGUGUAUCAUCUGGGCUCCAAGAGUUCCUCGACAACCGUCUGAAUUUUUUUUUUUCCCCUCACCGUUAAAACAUCAGCGGAUCUCCCUGCGGCGGUCGCGCUCGUUUGGAAACUGCUUCGGCCUAAAACGCUCGCUCCGAGGGGGAGAGAGAGAGAGAGAGAGAGAGAGAGACACCGCCGAUCAGCCGAGCCUGUGCCAGUUGUCCUUUUUUAUUGGAGCCAUGGUGGCAGCAGUCCUGAAGUUGUAUUUUAUUGGAACCGCGCUGACUGUGCUUGCAGUCAUUUAUGGAAUAGUAGACUCCUUUGGCGGUCUGAUGUACCCCCAGAACCAUAACUACACACUGGAGCUGGACCACCAGACACAGAGAGAGCUCUCAUCCAGUAUCCGCCAGAGAGGAUCGUCUGUGACCAAAAACAUCGGCUCGUAGUGGAAACGUCUCGGGUCGCACUCCACAACGGUGUCUCCGGGAUGGACAUGUGGGACACUGUGGCAAUCAAUCAAGAGCCAGUGAGACUUUAUAAAUUGUGGAGAUGAAAACUUUACUGUUUUCAUCGCUGACUAUCUGCAUCCUUGUUAUGUCUAACUUCUUGGAUGUGUUGUGUACACUGAAAAAGCUCUGCAGUAGACAGUUUAAUGAUAUGGAUGUCUAACCCCAUGACACGACUGUUUAGUUCUACUUUCCAUCGCCUGCUGUCAAACACUGUAGCAGCUAGUCUCUGUUAAAGCAACUACAAAUGUAACGGCACUACUGAACAAUGAUCCGCACUAAAAUAAUGAGAAUUGAGUCGAGGUACUGUAAUGACUAUAAAUAUACUCUAGCGUCUUCUAAGAAUAAAAAAAAAAGUAGGCAUGGACAGGAAAUGUUGUUGUUGGAACCCAGGCUGGUUAACAAGUAUAAUAUCUUUCCUGAAAAUUUUCAGCAAUGAUUGUAGGAGCCAAAAGUCGAACCAAUAGAGCACCAAAUUAGUCACAAAGUGUUCUAGUCUCUCUGCCAGCAAAAAACAAAACCAAUAUGUAAGAUUGGAAACCUUAGGGAAUGAUAUUCCUUUCCUGUCUGGACUUUGAUGUCCCUGUGGUCUGUGAGUACGUAUUAAUAAUGACUCAAAUGUUAGUGUGAAAGCAGGUUAAGGCCCGGUUUCUCUAUAAUUAAAGAUCAUCUCUCAUAUUCAGGUCCAGAUAUUUCUCUAAUGAGCUGGCGGGAGUCGAAGAAGGAUCCCUCCUCUAUUGCUCAUUCUGAGGUUUCUAACUUUUUUUUUUUUGUGUGUGUGUGGGGGGGGGGGUCCUUGUCUGAUUCGACGGUCUAAGGACCAGAGGGAUUUGUAAUGCUGUACAGCUUGUUAAGCCCCUUAUGGCGAAUUUGUGAUGUCGGGCUGUAUAAAAUUUGACUUGACAAAAAUGAAAAGCGAAUGUU